GUGGGGAAUUGUUCGCAAUGGGCGCAAGCCUGACGACGCAACGCCGCGUGGAGGAUGAAGAUCUUCGGGUCGUAAACUCCUUUCGAUCGAGACGAACGGCCCCUGGGUUAACAGCCUGGGGGAGUGACGGUACCGAGAGAAGAAGCCCCGGCUAACUCCGUGCCAGCAGCCGCGGUAAUACGGGGGGGGCAAGCGUUGUUCGGAAUUACUGGGCGUAAAGGGCUCGUAGGCGGCCAACUAAGUCAUGCGUGAAAUCCCUCGGCUUAACCGGGGAACUGCGUCUGAUACUGGAUGGCUUGAGUUCGGGAGAGGGAUGCGGAAUUCCAGGUGUAGCGGUGAAAUGCGUAGAUAUCUGGAGGAACACCGGUGGCGAAGGCGGCAUCCUGGACCGAUACUGACGCUGAGGAGCGAAAGCCAGGGGAGCAAACGGGAUUAGAUACCCGGGUAGUCC
This 451-nucleotide ribosomal RNA is filed under the name uncultured bacterium. RNAcentral describes it as "bacterial SSU rRNA". It matches the Rfam family "Bacterial small subunit ribosomal RNA", at positions 354 to 796 of the family's 1533-position model. The record is from RNAcentral.